GGAGAAUUGAGGGGGGCUGCUCCUAGUACGAGAGGACCGGAGUGGACGCAUCACUGGUGUUCGGGUUGUCAUGCCAAUGGCACUGCCCGGUAGCUAAAUGCGGAAGAGAUAAGUGCUGAAAGCAUCUAAGCACGAAACUUGCCCCGAGAUGAGUUCUCCCUGAGACCUUGAGUCUCCUGAAGGAACGUUAAAGACGAUGACGUUGAUAGGUCGGGUGUGUAAGCGCAGCGAUGCGUUGAGCUAACCGAUACUAAUGAACCGUGAGGCUUAACCUU
Molecule: ribosomal RNA, 275 nt
Filed under: Enterobacter hormaechei
Lineage: Bacteria; Pseudomonadati; Pseudomonadota; Gammaproteobacteria; Enterobacterales; Enterobacteriaceae
Also listed under: 1 other name
Description: partial 23S ribosomal RNA
Rfam family: Bacterial large subunit ribosomal RNA
Source: RNAcentral